Molecule: ribosomal RNA, 581 nt
Filed under: uncultured bacterium
Lineage: Bacteria
Description: bacterial SSU rRNA
Rfam family: Bacterial small subunit ribosomal RNA
Source: RNAcentral
CGAAAGCCAGGGAGCGAACGGGAUUAGAUACCCCGGUAGUCCUGGCCUUAAACGAUGAAUGCUUGGUGUCUGGGGUUAUAAAGUCCCCGGGUGCCGUCGCUAACGCUUUAAGCAUUCCGCCUGGGGGGUACGGUCGCAAGACUGAAACUCAAAGGAAUUGACGGGGACCCGCACAAGCGGUGGAGCAUGUGGUUUAAUUCGACGCAACGCGAAGAACCUUACCUGGGCUAGAAUGCCUCUGACAACCCUAGAGAUAGGGCCUCCAAGGUAAAACUUGGCAGAGUGCAAGGUGCUGCAUGGCUGGCUGUCGUCAGCUCGUGUCGUGAGAUGUUGGGUUAAGUCCCGCAACGAGCGCAACCCUUAUCUUUAGUUGCCAGCAUUAAGUUGGGCACUCUAGAGAGACUGCCGUUGACAAAACGGAGGAAGGUGGGGAUGACGUCAAGUCCUCAUGGCCUUUAUGUCCAGGGCUACACACGUGCUACAAUGGCCGGUACAAACCGCCGCAAACUCGCAAGAGGGAGCCAAUCGGAAAAAGCCGGUCUCAGUUCGGAUUGAAGUCUGCAACUCGACUUCAUGAAGUU